GAUGAACGCUGGCGGCGUGCCUAAUACAUGCAAGUCGAGCGAACGGACGAGAAGCUUGCUUUUCUGAUGUUAGCGGCGGACGGGUGAGUAACACGUGGAUAACCUACCUAUAAGACUGGGAUAACUUCGGGAAACCGGAGCUAAUACCGGAUAAUAUUUUGAACCGCAUGGUUCAAAAGUGAAAGACGGUCUUGCUGUCACUUAUAGAUGGAACCGCGCUGCAUUAGCUAGUUGGUAGGGUAACGGCUUACCAAGGCAACGAUGCAUAGCCGACCUGAGAGGGUGAUCGGCCACACUGGAACUGAGACACGGUCCAGACUCCUACGGGAGGCAGCAGUAGGGAAUCUUCCGCAAUGGGCGAAAGCCUGACGGAGCAACGCCGCGUGAGUGAUGAAGGUCUUCGGAUCGUAAAACUCUGUUAUUAGGGAAGAACAUAUGUGUAAGUAACUGUGCACAUCUUGACGGUACCUAAUCAGAAAGCCACGGCUAACUACGUG
This 497-nucleotide ribosomal RNA is filed under the name uncultured bacterium. RNAcentral describes it as "partial 16S ribosomal RNA". It matches the Rfam family "Bacterial small subunit ribosomal RNA", at positions 28 to 507 of the family's 1533-position model. The record is from RNAcentral.